CCUGACCUCAGGUGAUCCACCCGCCUCAGCCUCCCAGAGUGCUGGGAUUACAGGCGUGAGCCACUGAGCCCUCACCAAAGUCUUGACAGUGACUCCAGGGACUACAAUAACUUGGUGAUUUUCACUUUCUCUGAAAUGUUGGAAUUUUAUAUUACAGUAUUAACUUGGAUUUGGCUUGGCCCGGUGGCUUGUACCUGUAAUUUCAGCUCUGGAAGGUGAGGCAGAAUUGCUUGAGACCAGGAGUUCGAGGCUGCAUUGAGCUAUGAUUGUGUUACUGCACUCCAGCCUGGGUGACGAAUGGAGACAUUGUUUCAAAAAAAGAAAAAUAAAUGCAAUUAAAAAUAAAAAUAAACCUGAAUUUGUAUGGAGGUUAAGGAAGAGUAUAUCUCAGUUUGAAACAUUAUGAAGCUAAGCCCCAAACCCAAAUAGUUAGAGAUUUUUAAAUACCAAAGUGUUAAUUAAAACUCAACACCAGAAACUCUCUUUUAAGAGUAUCCUUCAUAUUUUCAUGGCAUUGACUCUUUCUUAGUGUCUUUGACAGAAAUGUUUUUAGUGGAGUAGAGAUACAUGUAAUAAAAUUUACAGAAGGGCUAUAAUAAAGAGGGAAACGCAAAAUCGAGUCUGACACAGGAGACCCUGUUCCAUUUAUACUCAAAGCAACUUUGAAAACUGCGCCGUCAUGGUGUCUUUGGGUUGAGACAAAGUCGAAGCAAAUUUUGUUCCUAGAGUAUUGAUUUCCCCUUUCCAAUGGCUAAAGGCUUUCGGAACUAGUCUGAAAACUCAGGCUCUGACUUUGGAUCUAAAGAAGUGUCAAGAAUGUGCGGGCAGUGGCGCUGCAUGAAUCUAGCGGGUCUGGGCGAUGCUCUCUCCGGCUCUACCCAGUAGCAAUUGCGAGGACUUCUCAUGAAGUACAGACUCCUCCACCUCCAGGAAAAAGAGACAAAGUCCACUGAGAAGGACCUGAGGGAUGCCUGUGACCCCGCCCCUGAGAAAAGAAACAAAUUCCUUUCCACCCAAAAUAUGACAGCGCCUGUGGUCCAGGGCUGGAGCCCAUAGUGGAUGCCCAGCAGCCAACUUCCUGGAAUUGAGACCUCCCCAGCAGGCUUGGGGGUGAAAAGAGAAACUAGACUCCAAAAGGGACACCAGUGCUCUGUUGGGGAGAGAGGAGCACACCACUGCAUCCCACCCUGAAGAAUGGGAGUGAGAAGAGAGGACAGGUGAACCCACCAUGGCUCCAGUGAGAUGGGAGCGGGGAACGCCCAAGAAGGAGGACAGCCAUGGGGUGGCCCCAGCCAAAGCCACCAGACAUCAUUACAUGUCUGGGGCCCUCUCAGGCCGACAUGAGUUUUACUGCUCCACACACUGUUUUGUUAAGAGCUAGCUGUCAGUAGAUCAGUGAGAGAGCAACUUUGAUACAGAGGAAACCAUGCCUGAAAUGGGUCAGCCCAGAAGAAUUUAGUAGUAGGUUCUAUGCUUCCCUCCAGGGCCUCAUGGGCGUGGGCAACUUUUUUUUUUUUCCAGCCACUCACCCUAGGUAAUGAAGAAAGCUCUCUGAACUGUGUCCUUGCUGGGCACACAGGCCCCUACCACAUGUACAUGGCAUGGGAGUCAUGGCUAAGGCAGGGUAAGACUCCUAUUUGAGGCCAGGAAAAGCUAAUGACCCUACAUUUGGUUCAGUCCUUGUGGGGUCCUGACUAGGGUGUGGGCCACUGUGUUCCCACAGAUGCUCUGUUAGCCCUUAGGCUGUGAGAUACACAGGCAAAUGUUAUAUUGAAGCCUUUGUUUCUCUUACACGGAGGCAACACUACUGCAGCAGAGCAAACCUUAUUGUAUCAGUGCACCAACCCCAAGUUCAUGUUCAUUACAGCAGGAAAAACUAACAUGUGGUGAAUUCUGCCUCCACAAGGGACAAGGACCUGAUAAGACUACAAUGACCAGGAUGGCCAAUAUCCCUGUCUUCUUGCAACUCAAACUUUGCCUGGUUACCACCUACUUGCCCCAACUCCUUGGACUCCAGCCCUCCGAGGACAGCCAGACAUCUGAAGGAAGUGCCAGGCACAGAUGCCAGGUUGCAUAAGUGCUGGCCCCUGAGCAACUGGAGAAGCUGUUAGGUCCCAGCUGGCCUAGAGAUCCCUGGCUCAGGGAGUAUAACUGGAUGCCUUGAACAAAGACAUGGGGUCACUGGAAAGAGAGGACCGGCUGUCCCUCCCCACUAAGAAAUAAUUAACUGUUAGAUGAGGGGGAAUUCCUUUUCAAGGGCUCUGUGGACUGUGCUGCUCUGGAGGGGGUGGGGAGAGGGAGGAGCCCUGAGGUCUGGGCUGGGGUGUGGUUGGGAAGGAGCUGAGAGCUGAGAGCUGUAACUACACAAGGAGCUGCAGGGGUGAGGUUGGUGCAGGGUGGGAUUUAGAGGAUUUCCCCCAGACUCCUGUGCUGAUCCCCUUCAUCUCCUCCACCCCCACCCUUGGUGUCUGUCAACAUGCGGGGGUGCCCUCAUCUUCCCACUGCCCCUGGAGCUGUUCUACUCUUCCACGCUUGCCUUGGGGUUUUCAGAGCAGCAUCUUUGUGAGUCCUGGAGUGCUAGGGACCAGGAGGGGAGAGGAGGCAAUAGCCUCCUUUAAUUUGGCAACAGCUUUUCGUUAUCAUCUCCACUUUCCAAGGCAGGAAAAGUGAAGGCAACAGCUCUGAGAGAUCCUGGAAGAGGAAAAACCAUGGCGGGUGAGGCAGGGAGCUGUCUGAGUUUCCUAGCAGACAUCAGGAGCCCGCCCUUCCAGGCCUGGGCUUUGCUUCAGUGCCUGGCCCUGCAUAGGCCCCUGCCCCUGUCCCGUUCUGCUGCCCCCACCUCCCUCUCAGCCUGGCCCCAGACAGAAUCCAGACCAACUCCUGUCUGCUGUGAAAAAUGUUCCUGCCAGUUUAGGCAGAUCUUGCUUUAGAGCACUGGUGCCCAGCCUUCCACAGGUCUUGUGUCUGUUUUUCUUGGCACUAUGUUUCUUCUCAUGUAUUCUUCUGAAUUGGCAAGGCAGGAAUUACAUCACUGGUUUGCAGAUGAGGAAACUGACUCAUAUGGUUUCAUUCAGCACUCAUUCACUGUGAAAGUGUCUGUCAGGGCCAAUUGUGGGCCAGAUGUGCCCAGGGUUCUAUAGCUAGCUGGUGGAAAGGCCUGAAGGGUUCAUAUUCAGGUCCACUUGACUUGAAAACUCAUAUUGACCUUACUUAUGUACUAAUUCCCACUUUACAAUCCAUGCCACAAACUUUAUUGUCUUAAGAAGUUGCCACAGCAGCCUUCAGCAGCCACCUUGUCAUCAGUCAGCAGUCAUCAACAUUGAGGCAAGACCCUACUCCAGCAAAAACAUUAGUAUUAGCUGAAGCCUCAGAUGACU
Molecule: long non-coding RNA, 3377 nt
Organism: Homo sapiens (human)
Lineage: Eukaryota; Metazoa; Chordata; Mammalia; Primates; Hominidae
Exons: 3
Source: RefSeq, a predicted model, not a curated record